Long non-coding RNA from Monodon monoceros (narwhal), 4486 nucleotides. The record is from Ensembl. Lineage: Eukaryota; Metazoa; Chordata; Mammalia; Artiodactyla; Monodontidae.
CUCUUCCCUUGCCCUCACCCUUACCUUGUCUCAUUUUAGCCUUACAUGUUGACUUCAUGACAUUAUUUAGAGAUGAUGUUCUUUCUUUUUCCAUAUAGAAAAUAACCACCUUCAAAGUGACAGCUUAGGGCUCAAACACAGUAGCUAUUCCAGCUACAUCUGAAGACAGACCAGCAUUAUUAGGGAUACAAUUGGUUGUUAUGAACCAGACAGUCGUCGUCGUCGUCGUCGUCAUCAAACAGGCUCCUUUAGAAGAUGGGGAAGGACUUCCCUGGUGGCACAGUGGUUAAGAAUCUGCCUGCCAAUGCAGGGGACACGGGAAGAUCCCACAUGCCGCGGAGCAACUAAGCCCGUGUACCGCAACUACUGAGCCUGCGCUCUAGAGCCCACAAGCCACAACUACUGAAGCCCAUGAGCCACAACUACUGAAGCCCGCAUGCCUAGAGCCCGUGCUCCACAACAAGAGAAGCCACCGCAAUGAGAAGCCCGUGCACUGCAGCAAAGACCCAAUGCAGCCAAAAAUAAAAAAUGAAUUAAAAAAAAAAGACACAAAAAAGUUGAACAUGAAAGGAUUGAAAAAAAAGAAGAUGGGGAAAGUGCAGGUGGUUGACCCUGGAAGAAUUCAAGCAGAGCAUGAUUUUUGCUGCAUGGAGAAGGAAGUUUGGUUUGGAUUUACAAGUCUCAGGAGAAAGGCAAAUGCCUUUUCCUGGGCCUCUGUUGAAGCAGCCAGGUGCCACUUCCUGGAGCUGUUGCUGGUCCCUAACAUAGCCACAGAGAGCAUCAGGAUACAGGACACUGAAGGACCUCACUGUUCCAGAGGAUGUAGCAGGAAAUACGUCAAAUCCAUAGCACAGGCUCCGGACACGCAGGCUCAGCGGCCAUGGCUCACGGGCCCAGCCGCUCCGCAGCAUGUGGGAUCUUCCCGGACCGGGGCACGAACCCGUGUCCCCUGCAUCGGCAGGCGGACUCUCAACCACUGCGCCACCAGGGAAGCCCGACCAAUUUUUAACCUGCAUUCAUUCGUGUGUGUGUGUGGGGGGUGUAUGUUUAGUUCUAUGCACUUAAAUCCCAAGUAGAGAUUCUUGUAACUACCACCACGGUCAAGGUUGUUACUGUUGAGCAGAAGCAAGAAGAACUACAGUCCUGCAGCCUGUGGAACGAAAACCACAUUCACAGAAAGAUAGACAAAAUGAAAAGGCAGAGGACAAUGUACCAGAUGAAGGAACAAGAUAAAACCCCAGAAAAACAACUAAAUGAAGUGGAGAUAGACAACAUCCCAGAAAAAGAAUUCAGAAUAAUGAUAGUGAAGAUUCAGGACCUCAGAAAAAGAAUGGAGGCAAAGAUCGAGAAGAUGCAAGAAAUGUUUAACAGGGCUUCCCUGGUGGCACAGUGGUUAAGAAUAUGCCUGCCAAUGCAGGAGACAUGGGUUUGAACCCUGGUACAGGAAGAUCCCACAUGCCGCGAACAACAAAGCCCAUGCGCCACAACUACUAAGCCUGCACCCUACAGCCCGUAAGCCACAACUACUGAGCCCACGUGCCACAACUACUGAAGCCCAUGCGCCUAGAGCCCAUGCUCCGCAACAAGAGAAGCCACUGCAAUAAGAAGCCUGUGCACCACAAUGAAGAGUAGCCCCUGCUUGCCACAACUAGAGAAAAGCCCGUGUGCAGCAACAAAGACCCAAUGCAACCAAAAAUAAAUAAAUAAAUUUAUUUAAAAAAAAGAGAAACGUUGAACAAAGACCUAGAAGAAUUAAAGAACAAACACCUACAAGAAUUAAAGAACAAACAAACAGAGCUGAACAAUACAAUAACUGAAAUAAAAAAUACACUAGAAGGAAGCAAUAGCAGAAUAACUGAGGCAGAAGAACGGAUAAGUGACCUGGAAGACAGAAUGGUGGAAUUCACUGCCAUGGAACAGAAUAAAGAAAAAAGAAUGAAAAGAAGUGAAGACAGCCUAAGAGACCUCUGGGACAACAUUAAACGCACCAACAUUCACAUUAUAGGGAUCCCAGAAGGAUAAGAGAGAGAGAAAGGACCCAAGAAAAUAUUUGAAGAGAUUAUGGUCAAAAACUUGCUAACAUGGGGAAAGAAAUAGCCACCCAAGUCCAGGAAGCACAGAGAGUCCCAGGCAGGAUAAACCCAAGGAGAAACAUGCUGAGACACAUAGUAAUCAAAUUGACAAAAAUGAAAGACAGAAAAAGUAUUAAAAGCAACAAAACAAAACAACAAAUAACAUACAAGGGAACUCCCAUAAGGUUAACAACUGAUUUCUCAGCAGAAACUCUACAAGCCAGAAGGGAGUGGCAUGAUAUAUUUAAAGUGAUGAAAGGGAAGAGCCUACAACCAAGAUUACUCUACCUGGCAAGGAUCUCAUUCAGAUUUGAUGGAGAAAUCAAAAGCUUUACAGACAAGAAAAAGCUAAGAGAAUUCAGCACCACCAAACCAGCUCUACAACAAAAGCUAAAGGAACUUUUCUAAGUGGGAAACACAAGAGAAGAAAAGGACCUACAAAAACAAACUCAAAACAAUUAAGAAAAUGGUAAUAGGAACAUACAUAUCGAUAAUUACCUUAAAUGUGAAUGGAUUAGGUGCUCCAACCAAAAGACACAGUCUCACUGAGUGGAUACAAAAAACAAGACCCAUAUAUAUGCUGUCUACAAGAGACCCACUUCAGACCUAGGGACACAUACAGACUGAAAGUGAGGGGAUGGAAAAAGGUAUUCCAUGCAAAUGGAAAUCAAAAGAAAGCUGGAGUAGCAAUACUCAUAUCAGAUAAAAUAGGCUUUAAAAUAAAGAAUGUUACAAAGACAAGGAAGGACACUACAUAAUGAUCAAGGGAUCAAUCCAAGAAGAAGAUAUAACAAUUAUAAAUAUAUAUGCACCCAACAUAGGAGCACCUCAAUACAUAAGGCAAAUGCUAACAGCUAUAAAGAGGAAAUCAACAGUAACACAAUAAUAGUGGGGGACUUUAACACCUCACUUACACCAAUGGACAGAUCAUCCAGACAGAAAAUUAAUAAGGAAACACAAGCUUUAAAUGGCACAACAGACCAGAGAGAUUUAAUUGAUAUUUAUAGGACAUUGCAUCUGAAAACAGCAGAAUACACUUUCUUCUCAAGUACACACGGAACAUUCUCCAGGAUAGAUCACAUCUUGGGUCACAAAUCAAGCCUUGGUAAAUUUAAGAAAAUUGAAAUCAUAUCAAGCAUCUUUUCCAACCACAACGCUAUGAGAUUAGAAAUCAAUUAAAGGCAAAAAAACGUAAAAAACACAAACACAUGGAGGCUAAGUAAUACGUUACUAAAUAGCCAACAGAUCACUGAAGAAAUCAAAGAGGAAAUCAAAAAGUACCUAGAGACAAAUGACAACGAAAACACGAUGAUCCAAAACCUAUGGGGUGCAGCAAAAGCAGUUCUAAGAGGGAAGUUUAUAACAAUACAAGCCUACCUCAAGAAACAAGAAAAAUCUCAAAUAAACAAUCUAACCUUAUACCUAAAGGAACUAGAGAAAGAAGAAUAAAUGAAACCCAAAGUUAGUAGAAGGAAAGAAAUCAUAAAGAUCAGAGCAGAAAUAAAUGAAAUAGACACAAAACAAUAGCAAAGAUCCAUAAAACUAAAAGCUGGUUCUUUGAGAAGAUAAACAAAAUUGAUAAACCUUUAGCCAGGUUCAUCAAGAAAAAGAGGGAGAGGACUCAAAUCAAUAAAAUUAGAAAUGAAAAAGGACAAGUUACAAUGGAUAUGGCAGAAAUAUAAAGCAACCUAAGAGACUACUACAAGCAACUCUAUGCCGAUAAAAUGGACAACCUGGUAGAAAUGGACAAAUUCUUAGAAAGGUAUAAGCUUCCAAGACUGAACCAGGAAGAAAUAGAAAAUAUGAACAGACUAAUCACAAGUAAUGAAAUUGAAACUGUGAUUAAAAAUCUUCCAACAAACAAAAGUCCAGGACCAUAUUGCUUCACAGGUGAAUUCUAUCAAACAUUUAGAGAAUAGCUAACACCUAUCCUUCUCAAACUCUUCCAAAAAGUUGCAGAGGCAGGAACACUCCCAAACUCAUUCUACGAGGCCACCAUCACCCUGACACCAAAACCAGACAAAGAUAGUACAAAAAAAGAAAAUUACAGACCAAUAUCACUGAUGAAUAUAGAUGCAGAAAUCCUCAACAAGGGUCUUCCUUGGUGGCGCAGUGGUUGAGAGUCCGCCUGCUGAUGCAGGGGGCACGGGUUCGUGCCCUGGUCUGGGAAGAUCCCACGUGCCACGGAGCGGCUAGGCCUGUGAGCCAUGGCCGCUGAACCUGCGCAUCCAGAGUCUGUGCUCCACAACGGGAGAGGCCACAACAGUGAGAGGCCCGCGUACCACAGGAAAAAAAAAAUCCUCAACAAAAUAUUAGCAAACAGAAUCCAACAACACAUUAAAAGGAUCAUACAACAUGAUCAAGUGGGAUUUAUCCCAGGGAUGCAAGGAUUCUACAAUAUAUGCAAAUCAAUC